Molecule: ribosomal RNA, 459 nt
Filed under: uncultured bacterium
Lineage: Bacteria
Description: partial 16S ribosomal RNA
Rfam family: Bacterial small subunit ribosomal RNA
Source: RNAcentral
CCUACGGGGGGCAGCAGUGAGGAAUAUUGGUCAAUGAGCGAGAGCCUGAACCAGCCAAGUCGCGUGAGGGAGUACUGCCCUAUGGGUUGUAAACCUCUUUUGUCGGGGAGCAAAAGCCGGACGUGUCCGGCUGUGAGAGUACCCGAAGAAAAAGCAUCGGCUAACUCCGUGCCAGCAGCCGCGGUAAUACGGAGGAUGCGAGCGUUAUCCGGAUUUAUUGGGUUUAAAGGGUGCGCAGGCGGAUUUUUAAGUCAGCGGGCAAAUCGUUGGGUUCAACCGUAAAAUUGCAGUUGAAACUGGCAGUCUUGAUUACAGUAGAGGUGGGCGGAAUUCGUGGUGUAGCGGUGAAAUGCUUAGAUAUCACGAAGAACUCCGAUUGCGAAGACAGCUCACUGGACUGCAACUGACACUGAUGCUCGAAAGUGUGGGUAUCAAACAGGAUUAGAUACCCGGGUAGUC